RNAcentral lists this microRNA (22 nucleotides) under Bombyx mori (domestic silkworm). Its description in RNAcentral is "bmo-miR-6497-5p". The record is from miRBase by way of RNAcentral. Lineage: Eukaryota; Metazoa; Arthropoda; Insecta; Lepidoptera; Bombycidae.
GCUCUGAGGACCGGGGCGUGUC